This 253-nucleotide long non-coding RNA is filed under the name Gossypium raimondii (Peruvian cotton). RNAcentral's name for it is "long non-coding RNA (GRAI_LNC004366)". Lineage: Eukaryota; Viridiplantae; Streptophyta; Magnoliopsida; Malvales; Malvaceae. The record is from RNAcentral.
UGACGACUAAAUAGUUUAUUGUAGCAUUAUUUAUAUUCAAUUUUAAUAGUGUAUUUAAUGUGUAAAAAUAGUGAUAAACUUAAAAGAAAUUUUUUAAAACAGUUUUAAAAUUUAUAAGUUGAAUUAUUGAAUAUAAAAAAAUUGGAAAGACUAACUAUAAAAAUAUAAUUUACAAAACACCAUUAAAAUUCAUAUAAGGAUACAGAGGAGUUUAUGUUGCAAAUUUCCCCUCCAAAAAUUUUACUUUAUUUUC